CGGGAGUAACGCGUGGGUAACCGUGCCUCAUACAGGGGAGUAACAGUUAGAAAUAGACUGCUAAUACCGCAUAAGCGCACAGUGCUGCAUGGCACAGUGUGAAAAACUCCGGUGGUAUGAGAUGGACCCGCGUCUGAUUAGCUAGUUGGUGGGGUAACGGCCUACCAAGGCGACGAUCAGUAGCCGGCCUGAGAGGGUGAACGGCCACAUUGGGACUGAGACACGGCCCAA
RNAcentral lists this ribosomal RNA (231 nucleotides) under uncultured bacterium. RNAcentral's name for it is "partial 16S ribosomal RNA". It matches the Rfam family "Bacterial small subunit ribosomal RNA", at positions 106 to 334 of the family's 1533-position model. The record is from RNAcentral.